UAAACAUAUUACCGAAGCUGUGGAUUGUCCUUUGGACAAUGGUAGGAGAGCGUUCUAAGGGCGUUGAAGCAUGAUCGUAAGGACAUGUGGAGCGCUUAGAAGUGAGAAUGCCGGUGUGAGUAGCGAAAGACGGGUGAGAAUCCCGUCCACCGAUUGACUAAGGUUUCCAGAGGAAGGCUCGUCCGCUCUGGGUUAGUCGGGUCCUAAGCUGAGGCCGACAGGCGUAGGCGAUGGAUAACAGGUUGAUAUUCCUGUACCACCUAUAAUCGUUUUAAUCGAUGGGGGGACGCAGUAGGAUAGGCGAAGCGUGCGAUUGGAUUGCACGUCUAAGCAGUAAGGCUGAGUAUUAGGCAAAUCCGGUACUCGUUAAGGCUGAGC
Molecule: ribosomal RNA, 378 nt
Filed under: Staphylococcus aureus
Lineage: Bacteria; Bacillati; Bacillota; Bacilli; Caryophanales; Staphylococcaceae
Description: partial 23S ribosomal RNA
Rfam family: Bacterial large subunit ribosomal RNA
Source: RNAcentral